UCUGCGCGUGUCCUCUUCUCCGCUGGAUCCAUGGAACUCUGCUUUUCCAUGGCGCUCGGCGUCCCAGCCAUGGCGUGCCCAGGCUCCUGGCGUUUCCUCUUUCCCCCGCGCGCAGAUUCCUCAAGAUUUCUUCCAUGGCGCCUGAGGUUAUCUCCUUCCCUCUGCUCGCCGUGGAGUUCUACGCGUGCCUGCCCCCUGGUGGUUGCUCCUCUCCUGUGCCGAGCUCAUCUCCAGCGCCGCAGCUUCCUCCCCCAGUGUUUCUCUCCUCUACAUGGCUACGUCCCCUCGGCUCGCCCGAGCUCCCUGCGCUCGCUCAUGUCACGCGCCCUUUCUGCUCGACGCUCUGCAAGCCGCGUGUCCGGGUC
RNAcentral lists this unclassified non-coding RNA (365 nucleotides) under Zea mays. RNAcentral's name for it is "misc RNA Zm00001eb390060". The record is from RNAcentral. Lineage: Eukaryota; Viridiplantae; Streptophyta; Magnoliopsida; Poales; Poaceae.